Molecule: ribosomal RNA, 613 nt
Filed under: uncultured bacterium
Lineage: Bacteria
Description: bacterial SSU rRNA
Rfam family: Bacterial small subunit ribosomal RNA (bases 1-517)
Source: RNAcentral
CCUACGGGAGGCAGCAGUGGGGAAUAUUGGACAAUGGGCGAAAGCCUGAUCCAGCAAUGCCGCGUGAGUGAUGAAGGCCUUAGGGUUGUAAAGCUCUUUUACCAGGGAUGAUAAUGACAGUACCUGGAGAAUAAGCUCCGGCUAACUCCGUGCCAGCAGCCGCGGUAAUACGGAGGGAGCUAGCGUUGUUCGGAAUUACUGGGCGUAAAGCGUGCGUAGGCGGUUAUUCAAGUCAGAGGUGAAAGCCCGGGGCUCAACCCCGGAACGGCCUUUGAAACUAGAUAACUAGAAUCUUGGAGAGGUUAGUGGAAUUCCGAGUGUAGAGGUGAAAUUCGUAGAUAUUCGGAAGAACACCAGUGGCGAAGGCGACUAACUGGACAAGCAUUGACGCUGAGGUACGAAAGCGUGGGGAGCAAACAGGAUUAGAUACCCUGGUAGUCCACGCCGUAAACGAUGAUAACUAGCUGUCCGGGCACUUGGUGCUUGGGUGCGCAGCUACGCAUUAAGUUAUUCCGUCCGUCGGGUAGGUACGGUCGGCGAAGAAUUAAAACUUAAAACGGUAAAGUUAGUACGGCGUGAGACGUGCCGAACGGACGACGACGAGGGAGGUAGG